GCAUAUCAAUAAGCGGAGGAAAAGAAACCAACAGGGAUUGCCCCAGUAACGGCGAGUGAAGCGGCAACAGCUCAAAUUUGAAAUCUGGCCCCCAGGGCCCGAGUUGUAAUUUGCAGAGGAUGCUUUUGGCGCGGUGCCUUCCGAGUUCCCUGGAACGGGACGCCAUAGAGGGUGAGAGCCCCGUCUGGUCGGACGCCUAGCCUGUGUAAAGCUCCUUCGACGAGUCGAGUAGUUUGGGAAUGCUGCUCUAAAUGGGAGGUAUAUGUCUUCUAAAGCUAAAUACCGGCCAGAGACCGAUAGCGCACAAGUAGAGUGAUCGAAAGAUGAAAAGCACUUUGAAAAGAGGGUUAAAUAGUACGUGAAAUUGUUGAAAGGGAAGCGCUUGUGACCAGACUUGGGCCCGGUGGAUCAUCCAGCGUUCUCGCUGGUGCACUCCGCCGGGUUCAGGCCAGCAUCAGUUCGCCGCGGGGGAAAAAGGCUUCGGGAACGUGGCUCCUACGGGAGUGUUAUAGCCCGUUGCAUAAUACCCUGGGGCGGACUGAGGUUCGCGCUCCGCAAGGAUGCUGGCGUAAUGGUCAUCAGCGACCCGUCUUGAAACACGGACCAAGGAGUCGUCUUCGUAUGCGAGUGUUCGGGUGUAAAACCCCUACGCGUAAUGAAAGUGAACGCAGGUGAGAGCUUCGGCGCAUCAUCGACCGAUCCUGAUGUUCUCGGAUGGAUUUGAGUAAGAGCAUACGGGGCCGGACCCGAAAGAAGGUGAACUAUGCCUGUAUAGGGUGAAGCCAGAGGAAACUCUGGUGGAGGCUCGCAGCGGUUCUGACGUGCAAAUCGAUCGUCAAAUAUGGGCAUGGGGGGCGAAAGACUAAUCGAACCUUCUAGUAGCUGGUUUCCGCCGAAG
RNAcentral lists this ribosomal RNA (898 nucleotides) under Purpureocillium lilacinum. RNAcentral's name for it is "LSU rRNA". It matches the Rfam family "Eukaryotic large subunit ribosomal RNA", at positions 38 to 966 of the family's 3401-position model. Lineage: Eukaryota; Fungi; Ascomycota; Sordariomycetes; Hypocreales; Ophiocordycipitaceae. The record is from RNAcentral.